AUCUUUAUAAAUUUACUUUCAAAUCCACCUUCAAAUAAUUUUUCAUAUUAAUAUUCAUAUAAAUAUUUUUAAUGUAACUCAUCUCUACUUAAAUAUUAGCUACACCUUGAUCUGAAAUAAUAUCAUUUAUAAAUUAAGGAAAAUUUUUAUUCUUUUAAAAUAUUCUGAUAACGACGGUAUAUAAACUGAUUACAAAUUUAAGUAAGGUCCAACGGGGAUUAUCAAUUAUAGGACAAGUUCCUCUGAAUAGACUAAAAUACCGCCAAAUUUUUAAGUUUCAAGAACAUAACUAUUAC
This 296-nucleotide ribosomal RNA is filed under the name Teleopsis currani. Its description in RNAcentral is "partial 12S ribosomal RNA". The record is from RNAcentral. Lineage: Eukaryota; Metazoa; Arthropoda; Insecta; Diptera; Diopsidae.